Long non-coding RNA from Syngnathus typhle (broad-nosed pipefish), 1236 nucleotides. RefSeq lists it as uncharacterized. Lineage: Eukaryota; Metazoa; Chordata; Actinopteri; Syngnathiformes; Syngnathidae. The record is from RefSeq and is a predicted model, not a curated record. The transcript has 13 exons.
CAAAAAGGGUAUAAAAGGCGUCAAGAUCGCGACGCUCAUUCUUGCACUCACCACUGACAGCGAGAGCCACGUUGCUCUGGUCCACCUGCUGCGCCGGCCGUACAACAGCGUGUAAACGUGACAAGCGUCUAGUUGCACUUUGGGCGUGCUUCCAUCUUGCAAGCUCAAAAGUUUGCAGAAGCUAGCGUUAGCAGUUAACAUCUCCAACGACCACCAAAACGCAUUUAUCUGGCGUGCAACCAAACAAUUUAAGAAUGCAACGGUGGCGACGUCUGGACGACAGCGCCGUUUGGCCGAAGGUGCAAACCCUCAAAACGAGCCUGUCAUGGCCGACUGACUUUGCAGGCCUGCAUCCGGAACCGAGGGAACAGGGUCCAAAAUGGCCACCUUGCAGUCCUCGCAUGGCUUCAUGGGACACUUGCAGACCAGCGAGCUGUAGUUGGAGAGACGUCCGGUGCUGCUCUCCAUUCAUCACUGGUGGGACCAAAGGACCAAGUUUCUGUAGCAUGGUGAAGAUCUACAUGGUUUUAAUCUUGUGGCAUCAUCAACCUCUUGUCCAGAGCACUUUCCAGUAAGGAUGCAGUUGGGACAUCUGCUACCUGCUGGCCAAAGAUAAAAGCCCUCCAAAGCCAUGCAGAGGUAGCCAUCCUGGAGAAUUUUUACAACAUUUCAGGAACUCUGCCUGUGAAACAGCGACUGGCUGCUUCCACUCUACAGUUGAAUAUAAAACCAGUAAGCUUAAAUGGAAUUGUUGUCAAUGUUCCUUUUUCUUUCCAGGCAGAGGUGGCAAAUCCAGGUCCAGAACGUGAAAGUCCUGCCAGUUUGUCUUCAGCCUCUGAGCUCGUUCACCUGGAUCUGUGCUGCCUGAAGAGCCCUCCGCUGUGUGGAGCACCAUCUACUCGUAGUGGAAGCUGAGGACAAGAGUAAAGCCGCUUACCAGCAGCACUUUGGUGUUCUUACUUACUCAGCUUUAAGGCAACCUGAGAAGAAGCAAAGAACAAAAUCAACUUCCUGAGUCAUGCAGCAAGGAAUAAAAUUGGCUUCCUGGUCAUGCAGCUUGCAGUACGCGGUGCCAUAAACAACUCAACUUGCGCACUGGUCCAGGCAAGGACUACCACUCUUCCCACCGACCGACCACUCGUCCCACCGGCCGACCACUCGUCCCACCGGCCGACCACUCGUCCCACCGGCCGACCACUCGUCCCACCGGCCGACCACUCGUCCCACCGGCCGACC